This 505-nucleotide ribosomal RNA is filed under the name uncultured bacterium. RNAcentral's name for it is "partial 16S ribosomal RNA". It matches the Rfam family "Bacterial small subunit ribosomal RNA", at positions 899 to 1397 of the family's 1533-position model. The record is from RNAcentral.
ACUCAAAUGAAUUGACGGGGGCUCACACAAGCGGUGGAGCAUGUGGUUCAAUUCGAAGCAACGCGCAGAACCUUACCUGGGCUUGACAUGCCUGGAUUAUCCCCAUGAAAGUGGGGUAGGCCCUUCGGGGUACAACAGGCACAGGUGCUGCAUGGCUGUCGUCAGCUCGUGUCGUGAGAUGUCGGGUUAAGUCCCAUAACGAGCGAAACCUUUGCCCUUAGUUACCAGCGGGUUAUGCCGGGGACUCUAAGGGGACUGCCGGUGUCAAACCGGAGGAAGGUGGAGAUGACGUCAAGUCCUCAUGGCCUUUAUGCCCAGGGCCACACACGUGCUACAAUGGCGUGGACAAAGGGAACCUAGAACGCAAGUUCAUGGAAAUCUCACAAACCACGCCCCAGUUCAGAUCGGAGGCUGCAACCCGCCUCCGUGAAGUUGGAAUCGCUAGUAAUCGCGGAUCAGCUACGCCGCGGUGAAUGUGUUCCUGAGCCUUGCACACACCGCCCGU